Molecule: ribosomal RNA, 730 nt
Filed under: uncultured bacterium
Lineage: Bacteria
Description: bacterial SSU rRNA
Rfam family: Bacterial small subunit ribosomal RNA
Source: RNAcentral
AAUGCAAGUCGAGCGCGGGAGCUCCUUCCUGAUCCCUUCGGGGUGAAGAGAGUGGAACGAGCGGCGGACGGGUGAGUAACACGUGGGCAACCUACCUGUAAGACUGGGAUAACUCGCGGAAACGUGAGCUAAUACCGGAUAAUACUUUUUAUUGCAUGAUAAGAAGUUUGAAAGGCGGCGUAAGCUGUCACUUACAGAUGGGCCCGCGGCGCAUUAGCUAGUUGGUGGGGUAAAGGCCUACCAAGGCAACGAUGCGUAGCCGACCUGAGAGGGUGAUCGGCCACACUGGGACUGAGACACGGCCCAGACUCCUACGGGAGGCAGCAGUAGGGAAUCUUCCGCAAUGGACGAAAGUCUGACGGAGCAACGCCGCGUGAGUGAAGAAGGUUUUCGGAUCGUAAAACUCUGUUGUUAGGGAAGAACAAGUUAGGUAGUAACUGACCUGACCUUGACGGUACCUAACCAGAAAGCCACGGCUAACUACGUGCCAGCAGCCGCGGUAAUACGUAGGUGGCAAGCGUUGUCCGGAUUUAUUGGGCGUAAAGCGCUCGCAGGCGGCCUUUUAAGUCUGAUGUGAAAGCCCACGGCUUAACCGUGGAGGGUCAUUGGAAACUGGAGGACUUGAGUGCAGAAGAGGAGAGUGGAAUUCCAUGUGUAGCGGUGAAAUGCGUAGAGAUAUGGAGGAACACCAGUGGGCGAAGGCGACUCUCUGGUCUGUAACUGACGCUGA